Molecule: small nucleolar RNA, 82 nt
Organism: Ziziphus jujuba (common jujube)
Lineage: Eukaryota; Viridiplantae; Streptophyta; Magnoliopsida; Rosales; Rhamnaceae
Product: small nucleolar RNA Z122
Exons: 1
Source: RefSeq, a predicted model, not a curated record
UUUGGGAGAUGAUGCGAAUACAUAAUUAUCAAAUGCAUCAGCAAUGCUGAGUUGUCUAUUUGCACGUCAGUCUGAUCGCAAC